GGGGCGGAGCCGCGGCGCGGAGACACAGGGCCUGGCGAAGAGGCGGGAGGAAAGAACGCCGCGACGUACGGGUCCGGCCCCCCGCGCCGCGCUCCCCUCCCCCGCUUUCCCCUUCUCCAGCCCGACCCGGGACAUUUGCGCGCUACGGCCCUAGGGGCGGGGCCUCGCCAGGCUGCGCGCAGGCUCCCGGGCGGGUGCGUCACGUGGUGGCAGAGCGGCUUCCCUCAUCCGCCGGGUGGCGCCGAAGAGAGGGGUCUCCGCAGCCCCCCAAAAGCGCAGGCCUGUUAGUAGCUUGGCUUCACAUCGUUGCCCAGAUGUAUACCCACCCUGGGUUCUGCACUCAGGGACACUUCUGAGGCGUUCUUCUCGUGAGGAAAGCUAGGUGGCACCUCGUCUUGUUUCCCAGACGGGGAGCUGCCUUUCGGACUCUUCUCCCGCGUGUUUGCAAAGCCCGAAGCUGCCCGGUCCACUCACAGGCCUUUUCCUGGUUCUUAGUCCCAGCAGGUUGUGUGCACUUGGGCAAGUCACUUUACCUCUCUGGACCUACUUCUGUUAUGGAAUUAUAGAAUUCAAAAAAGACUGCGAGAUCCCGCUGUGGUGCCGCGGGUUAAAAUUCAGACUGCAAAAAGGAAAAAAGAAAGAAAAAAAAAAGGACUGCAGCCUCGCAGGCAAAGGUUCGGUCCUGGCCCAGGAACUUCCAAAUGCUGCUGGUGUGAACCACUAAAAAAAAAAAAAAAAAAAAAAAAAAAAGGCAAAUGGAACUUUGUGUCAGUGGUGAUGUUAAAGCAAGGCCGGGAGUUCCCGUCAUGGCUCAGCCAAAGGGAAUCUGAACAGGAUCCAUGAGGACCCAGAUGCCCUCUCUGGCCUCGCUCAGUAACGCAAGUGUACCGCUGACUGCUCUACUCCCUCCUGCAGAGCCCAGACAUGGACCACAACAAGCCUGAAAUCAGAAUUCCCAUCACGGCUCAGGGGAAACCAAUCUGACUAGCAUCCGUGAAGACUCAGGCAGGUCACUCUCCACGAACAUGAUUUCAUAACCCACAAAUGGGAUGAAAGAGUCUGAAAAGGCUGCUGCUUUCAUACACAAAACCUGCUCACUCUUUGCCACCAGUGACCCAGAGCCUCUUCUAAAUGCCUAAUCUACCCGUGUUUCCCCUAGAUCUGCAGGGGCUCCAUCGAAUGCCUAUAAUACCUUUGAUUAGGCAAUGGGCUUCAAGGCUCCCCUCCCACCAUCCCAGCCCUUAGGGCCAUCCCAUUCUUCCUGUCCUUUCCCAAAGCGUUUCUCAAGAUGAACUCAAGGAGCACCCACUAGGAAGUGGAAGAGAAAGAGAAAGCAAAAAGAGCAAGAGUUUCAGUAAACAAGGGAGUGGCAUGGACACACCAAGAGAUCAUUCACCCACUACUCCUUUGGAGAAGACUCUCACAGCUUAAAGAUUGGAAGAGAGAUGCUGGCGACGCAGCAUCCCCUACAACGCAGAGCUGUCCCAGGAUGAACCACCUUGGAGGGACGGUGGUUGCACCUUGGGAUCCCUUCUGGUGCCCUUAGUUCUCCCGGAAAGCAAAGCAGAAGGCGACCAGAAGGACUCAUCCACAUCUUGCUACUCACAAGUGAGAAGGAAUUUACUAUCUGUCUCAAGAGCACUGAUUAUGAGCCAACUGCUGUCCUGUUUCACUUCCACUUAAGCCUCACAGAUAGCUAUUGUGGAGCCCAUGUUACUGAAGAGGAAAGAAGCACGGGUUAUGUCACUUGCCCAGCAAGGUCACACAGCUGGAGGGAAGCAGGUUUUAAGCCCUGGGCUGUCUAGCUUUAUCACCCCACUACACCUGGCAUCAGCUGGGCAGGGGAUCUUUGCAUCUCAUUCGGAACUGAAACCCAGGAAGUUAAACUUGUCACCUCAACCACCAGGCCCACAGGAGUUCGGCAAUGAGGACUCCUCAACCAGUGCUCCUUCCACAAGUAUGGGGGACCCCUGACAAGUCAGCAAAAAAAAAUUCCUGGGCUCUGAGCCCCUCCCCUCUACGCCGGGCCAGCCGCCUGUCAUUUCCUGGGGCAGUGCUUUCCUGCCUUCCACCAAUCCAAACCCAACCCCCAGCGAAGGCCCCAGCACAUCCUCAAUCUCUCAGGGAAGCCCAAUCAGUGGAACAAUCUUUGUGCCCAACUCCAAGCGGUGUGUCUGCACAACACCACCCUUACCGCCAAGUUAAGGGUUAAGGGGGGACUGACUGGCAGACAUGAAACCGACAGUUACGAUGUAUUGAUGAAAGGUCCCCCUGGGGUAACUCUGGGGGCUGCAGAGGCAGAAGGGGGUUCCUAAUGCCCCACAGCUGUGGCUCCAAGGGGCAUGCCUGCCAGAAGUGAUUUUUCACGGGAAGCUGCAGAAUGAGAAGUCACGCACAGGUAGGGAUUGAGGACUGAUCCAGGCAGAGGACACAAGGGUGUCCAGCCCCCACCACCACCACCCAGGUGAGAGAACGGAGCCCCAGGAGGUGGAGAGAGCUUCAAGUUGCUGGAGGGAGCUUGAACCUGGAGAGGGCUGCAGGCGGGCAGUGCCCUGGGAGUCUCUUCGUCCAUACCUCGAGGGUAAUGGGAAGGCUAGGAAGGGUUUGCAAGCAGUGUCACGUGGUUGGCUUUGCUCAGGCUGGAUGGGAGGAGGAGGAAGCCGGAAGGAAGAUGAGGAGGAGGUGACAGUAACCGGGCCAGGGUUGUGGGCAGGCGGCAACAGCAGGAAAGAGAGGUGAACGGACGUGAAACAUGUUGAGGAGGUAGAACCACCAGGACUCGGGGACCUGACGGGUGGCGGAGGAGAGGAAAGAGGCCACGAGUCUUUGCCCCAGCCUCAGGCUGGCUCCUGUGCCAUUAGCCAAGACAAAAGGGAUGCGUUUGGGGGGCUGGGAGGCAGGCUCAGCGGAGGUGUGGGGCUGGGGCCAGGGACGCGCUCACACGUGCUCUGCGUCUCCCAGUCUCACCCCUUCCCGUUCUUUCUCCACAGAUACCUUAAUCCACACACCCCCGUGCUCAAAACCCUUCAGGGGAGUUUGCGGUCACAUCUCAAAGGCUUGGGGCAAACAAACCAAGCUCCUUAAAAGGCAACCUUUGUAAACCCCUUCAACCUCCAAUAAAACGUAGUGUUGGGACAUAC
Molecule: non-coding RNA, 3140 nt
Organism: Sus scrofa (pig)
Lineage: Eukaryota; Metazoa; Chordata; Mammalia; Artiodactyla; Suidae
Source: RefSeq, a predicted model, not a curated record